Molecule: ribosomal RNA, 276 nt
Filed under: uncultured bacterium
Lineage: Bacteria
Description: partial 16S ribosomal RNA
Rfam family: Bacterial small subunit ribosomal RNA
Source: RNAcentral
CAAACUGAAGAUGGCGACCGGCGCACGGGUGAGUAACACGUAUCCAACCUGCCGAUAACUCCGGAAUAGCCUUUCGAAAGAAAGAUUAAUACCCGAUGGCAUAGUUCUUCCGCAUGGUGGAACUAUUAAAGAAUUUCGGUUAUCGAUGGGGAUGCGUUCCAUUAGUUUGUUGGCGGGGUAACGGCCCACCAAGACUACGAUGGAUAGGGGUUCUGAGAGGAAGGUCCCCCACAUUGGAACUGAGACACGGUCCAAACUCCUACGGGAGGCAGCAUG